Alternaria rosae is the source of this 92-nucleotide non-coding RNA. The record is from the annotation of a RefSeq genome assembly. NCBI's taxonomy places the organism in Eukaryota, Fungi, Ascomycota, Dothideomycetes, Pleosporales, Pleosporaceae.
GCCUGCUUAGCUCAGUGGUAGAGCGCGUCACUAGUAAGCCUAUUCGGGUUAGCGCAAUGACGAGGUCGCCAGUUCAAUUCUGGUAGCAGGCA